This 429-nucleotide ribosomal RNA is filed under the name Pseudomonadota bacterium. RNAcentral describes it as "Proteobacteria bacterium partial 16S ribosomal RNA". It matches the Rfam family "Bacterial small subunit ribosomal RNA", at positions 355 to 776 of the family's 1533-position model. The record is from RNAcentral. Lineage: Bacteria; Pseudomonadati; Pseudomonadota.
UGGGGAAUAUUGGACAAUGGGCGAAAGCCUGAUCCAGCCAUGCCGCGUGUGUGAAGAAGGUCUUCGGAUUGUAAAGCACUUUAAGUUGGGAGGAAGGGCAGUAAGCGAAUACCUUGCUGUUUUGACGUUACCGACAGAAUAAGCACCGGCUAACUCUGUGCCAGCAGCCGCGGUAAUACAGAGGGUGCAAGCGUUAAUCGGAAUUACUGGGCGUAAAGCGCGCGUAGGUGGUUCGUUAAGUUGAAUGUGAAAGCCCCGGGCUCAACCUGGGAACUGCAUCCAAAACUGGCGAGCUGGAGUAGGGCAGAGGGUGGUGGAGUUUCCUGUGUAGCGGUGAAAUGCGUAGAUAUAGGAAGGAGCACCAGUGGCGAAGGCGACCACCUGGGCUCAUACUGACACUGAGGUGCGAAAGCGUGGGGAGCAAACAGG